AUUGAACGCUGGCGGUAUGCUUAACACAUGCAAGUCGAACGAGUGGCGGACGGGUGAGUAAUGCAUAGGAAUCUACCUUUUAGUCUAGGAAAACUACCCGAAAGGGUGGCUAAUACUGGAUGCUAAGAGAUGAGCCUAUGUGGGAUUAGCUAUUUGGUGGGGUAAUGGCUCACCAAGGCGACGACCUCUAGCUGGUUUGAGAGGAUGAUCCGCCAGACUGGGACUGAGACAAGCCCCAGCGUCCUACGGGAGGCAGGAGUGAGGAAUAUUGGACAACUGGCGAAAGCCUGAUCCAGCAAUACCGCGUGGGUGAAGAAGGCCCUAGGGUUGUAAAGUAUCUUUGUUAGGGAGAUGUUACCUAAAGAAUAAGCACCGGCUAACUCCGUGCCAGCAGCCGCGGUAAUUC
RNAcentral lists this ribosomal RNA (406 nucleotides) under uncultured bacterium. Its description in RNAcentral is "partial 16S ribosomal RNA". It matches the Rfam family "Bacterial small subunit ribosomal RNA", at positions 30 to 526 of the family's 1533-position model. The record is from RNAcentral.